GAUGAACGCUGGCGGCGUGCCUAAUACAUGCAAGUCGAGCGAACAGACGAGGAGCUUGCUCCUCUGACGUUAGCGGCGGACGGGUGAGUAACACGUGGAUAACCUACCUAUAAGACUGGGAUAACUUCGGGAAACCGGAGCUAAUACCGGAUAAUAUAUUGAACCGCAUGGUUCAAUAGUGAAAGACGGUUUUGCUGUCACUUAUAGAUGGAUCCGCGCCGCAUUAGCUAGUUGGUAAGGUAACGGCUUACCAAGGCAACGAUGCGUAGCCGACCUGAGAGGGUGAUCGGCCACACUGGAACUGAGACACGGUCCAGACUCCUACGGGAGGCAGCAGUAGGGAAUCUUCCGCAAUGGGCGAAAGCCUGACGGAGCAACGCCGCGUGAAUGAUGAAGGUCUUCGGAUCGUAAAACUCUGUUAUUAGGGAAGAACAAAUGUGUAAGUAACUAUGCACGUCUUGACGGUACCUAAUCAGAAAGCCACGGCUAGCUACGUG
RNAcentral lists this ribosomal RNA (497 nucleotides) under uncultured bacterium. RNAcentral's name for it is "partial 16S ribosomal RNA". It matches the Rfam family "Bacterial small subunit ribosomal RNA", at positions 28 to 507 of the family's 1533-position model. The record is from RNAcentral.